RNAcentral lists this long non-coding RNA (32400 nucleotides) under Eucalyptus grandis. Its description in RNAcentral is "long non-coding RNA (EGRA_LNC000612)". Lineage: Eukaryota; Viridiplantae; Streptophyta; Magnoliopsida; Myrtales; Myrtaceae. The record is from RNAcentral.
AACAUGGUAUCCCAGUUCAUUUUUUGUUGCAGUCAAUUAGGUGUGCGUAUAAUUUUGUUCUAAUCACUCUUGUAGUUGUUCAUCAUGCAUGAAAGAUAACUUUUAAAUAAAAAUUACACAUCCUGUUUCAGACUUUUGGAUGAGAAAUAUGAGGACUGUGGAAAGACCAUCAAUGGUGGAGGAUAAGAAGCAUGGAAUAUUCUGUUUCCUUCAUCUCUAAUUUCUCUUUGGAUGAGAAAUAUGAGGAAUGUGGAAAGCUUAAGUGGUCUUCGCAGCCAUCUCUCCUCUCUCAAACGGCUAUCCUUUAUAGGUUAUCGGUACUUGCAUGAGAAGAUUUCUCUCCAAUGUCUAAUUUUUAUUCUUCAGGUAAUGGUUCAUACUUCUUUCUUCCACACACAUCAGUUAGCUACUGCUGCUGCUGCUCCAGGAUCCAUUUCUAUUACGAAUCCUCAACAUGAUGCUAAAAGUUCAUGUUUUUCCAUGGACAAGCUUCUCAUUAUUUGCCACAAACGAGCUAGACAUUUGGGUUGCUCUGUUUUGUUUGAUAAUGGAGCACACAAUGAAAUGGUUAUAAUGGUAACGAGGUACAGCUAGUUCGCCAUAGUUUCAUACGAGUCGCUAUUCCUCAAAACAAAUAAUACUUACAUGGACUUGCUCAUAGUGCCGGAAUUGUGAUGCGUGGAUAUGCCUGUCUGGAUUGAUGAGAUGUCAUGAACUUCGUUUGAUGCCCAACUAUUGCUUAUCUUUCCACUUAUGGAAUUGCACCCUGCUUUGCAUGAGAACCAUGAGGAAUUGUUGCUCUUAUAUUGAUAUUUUUCUGCAAUUUCAGCAUUUGUUAUGUUUUCUCUUCCAAUUUUUUUUUUUAUGCCCUAGCUCAGUGACCUGAAUUCUCUCAAUUGUGCUUGUUUUGCAAAAUAUCCUCACUGUCAUCUUUAUUUGGCAGAAUCUCUCAGGAGGAUCAAAUGCAAACACUGUAGAGGGAGACCAAUGAUGUGCUUAUGUUCAUCUUUUGCAACUUGACAAAAGAAAAGGCUAUUUAUUUUGGUAGGUGUAGUGAUAUGCUCUAAACUGCUUUAGACUUGCUCCAAAAGAUUAAUCUGUAUCAUUAUGUCAAUUAUCGAGGUCUAUAAUCCAAGUCAGAUGAAGGAGGUUUCUCUAUAAUCCAAGUCGAUGGAGGAGGUUUCUUACUUCCAACCACAGCAACCAUUGUGACGAUGCAAAAAAUUAGGAUUUAAAACAGGUAUUUUCGAGUUGUGAAUAUGGUAAUUAAAUUGAAUGAAUCUACUAAUUAUCAUCCAUUUAAAUCUGAUUUCCUUGUCGAAGUUCAUAGUUCAUCUUUCUUCUAUUCAAAUUCCCGCACUAGCUCAGAGCACAUUUUCUUCUUCUUUGUUGUCAAGGAAAGGCGGAGAGGAGCAAUCAGGGAGACUAUGCUUUGGCGCUCUGUUAAUUCAAUAUGAAAGCCUUGUGUUUGCCAUGAUGUAUUUUGAUUUAAGCUUGCGAGAAGAUGGCCAUCCAAGACCAUUCGCAACCCAAUUAUCUUGGGUAGGCAAGUCUUGUCACUAUAACCCCACCAAAGCUGCCAGAGCUCCCGUCACGGACAAGGCAAGAUGCAGACACCGUCAUCGUUAGUGGGUUAUCCUCACGACCUCGUGUAGAGUAUCAGUUUGUACCAUUAGGCCACAAUCACUGGUGAUUAGCUAUCCCCCAUAGUUCUGUAUUAGCAGAAUCACAAGGGCCAUUCGGAAAAUACAAACUAACCAUAACAAUCAAUCACAUUUUUUAGACUUGGUUUGUGAAGUACCAUGUUAUGUCUUGUUGAUUUUUGGUUGCAGUCGGUUAAGUAUGUGGUUGACUAUGUGUAUAAUUUGUCUGUCUGAUUACUCUUGUAAUUGUUUAUUUCGCAUGACAAAGUAAUUUUUACUGUGGGCUACUUGAUUUUCUCAUCCCAUAAUUCAUUUUUUUGUUCCCAUUUUUUUAUCUCACAUGCCAUAUAUCUAUCUCUUGGUUAAACUUGAAGAGUCCGAUAUAGUGACUUCAGUUGAGAUAAUUAUAAUGACGAUUGCGGUCGGCAAAAAUUGAGGCAUUAAAGAAAAUGUCUAAGGCCAUAGUGAGAUGAACUCCUACUAACGUGAAAAAAGUGUUACUCUUUCCAUUUUUCAAUCCGUUUCGCUUAUUAUGUAAUUAAUAAGCAAUCUUUCUCAACAAUUUGUAAGAAUUUUAGAUGUCUUCAAAGUACUUAUCUUCUAGUCAACCCAAGUUAGUUGCCUUUAUACGAAGUGUUAUGAAUCUUCUUGUUUUUUUCUUUACAAUAUAUAUUGAUAUUUUAUAUGACUAAGUUAAAUAAUGAAUGUUUUGGGAAUGCUUACAUAUAUGUGGCCAAUGAUUUAGAUUGGUUGAUUUUCCCAACAACACUGUAUGAUAUACUAAUAUAUGGAUGUAAAUCAACUAUAUAAGCAGAAUCAUAAGUCAAGGAUAUCAUUUGCUAAGGUUAAAAUAACUUUUGAGCAAUUUUCCCCUUGUCCGAAGAAAAAAAAAAGGAAAAUGGAAAAUGGCUUUAGCGAAACUUCAACAUAAAAGCCAUCCAUUGCUAUCAACUGAUCUUAAUAAUUUUUUACCAAAAAAAAAAUCUUAAUAUUUGAAGCAGGCUACAAAUAAGGAAAAUUUGAUAAUAUCGACAUUUUGCAUGUGAAGCGAUGUUGAUGCCUCAUAACUUAUAUCAUUCCCUUAAUAGAGUUCCUAGUUUAAUACCAAAGAGAAGCAGGAAAAAAAAGAGUACUUAGUUAGUUCCCUGAAACAUGUCCCUUCUUAAAAUUUUGUAGUAUGAAAUAAAAAUUCAAAUUUUAAAAGAAUAGGAAGAUUUUACGGAUAGAUUUUUGAAAUGUUUUAGGUGUUCUUAGUGUUAAAUGCAAAUUCAACCUGAUUUUGAUAAUUGUAAUACAAUUAAGCCCUAACACCACCCUUCAAAGGCAGUGAAUGGGCCGCCGUUAGCAGGUCCAAACUCCUGGGCCUUAAUCCCAAAAUGGAUCGGAUUGCACUUAGACUUGACAUGCAAUUCGGGUGAUAAGGUAAAAAAAAAAAAUUGUUCAGCUGGGACAACACUCGCUAUUUGUAGAACCAUUGAAUGGGGAGCCUAGACGGACCAAGUCGGAUAUCGACCAUCAGAAUUCUUACUUGGCCCGGCCUAUCAUUUUGUAAACUAUUAUACUUUCUUACCAUAAACAACAGCGUCGGGGCAAGUGCCCAAGAACAAAGAUGCUUGCCCAGACUCAUUCAAGUCUUGCAUUCAUCAAAUAGUAAAACCACGUUGGUCAAGUCUUGGUAGCUCCAGGGUCUAAGAGAAGAGUCAUUGCCCUCAACCUUGCACAGCUGCUUUUCCUUAUAUUUGAGCUAAGUUGAGCCAAGCUCGAUGGGCAAUUCUUUUUUCGCUCUAGAGCCGACUCAAAUGAAUAAGUAUGCUUCACAUUCAAAUACAAUGUGGGCUGUUCGAAAUAUUUAGUUUCAUCUGAAAAAAAGUAAAAUAAUAGAUAAUAUGCUUGAUAUUAACGUGGUUACUUUUCGCAUGAGCUCGAAAUUUAUGGCCUAAUUAUGUGUGAAAACCCAUAGUCAGUUAUGGAGAACAAUGAUUUAUUACAACGGCUCUCUUUAGCUUUAGUUAGUGACAGGUUUUGUAAUCUUUAUAAUUCCCUCUCCUUCCUAAUUCUAGAGUGAUAAAGAUGAGUCGUCGUCAUCACCUGACAACAAUUUAUGGGACCGUGCGGUGAGUCGACCAAAAGAAUCUCAGCAGCCAUGGAAACCCUUAGAAGACAUAACCUUUGAUGUUCGCUGUUUAUGCGUGCAUUUGCUAUGUCAAUUUACGUUGAAGAUAUACACGGUUUCUGGUACGGAUGACGUACGUAUGAUGUUAUAUACAAGUUUUUGAGGAGCAAAAAUAAGCACAGUGAGGUGGCCAUGUACGGUGUUUUAUGGGUAGUGAUUUCUCCUCAAAUCACCAUCGUUUCCAGCCUUGAACAUAAUAAGGGUGUCUUCUGGUCGCUUUUGUUCACAUGGGGAACGUGAGGAUUUCAAUCUCAUUUCGGUAGUGUUUUCGUCAUGUGAACAUAUAGAAAGAUGUCGCAUGGAUGUUACAUCUUUUUCCAUCAAUUUGAUGGGGGCGAUUCAAGGCUUGAAACACAAAAUUGAUAUUAUUCCAUAUUGCGCAGAUUCAAGUCAAGUAAAGCCAUUAGUUGUCUGGUGUUACUUAAGCGUUCUCAGACCUCCUCAGCAUGUAUAUCCUCCAUGUAGGUGACACUUUGGAUUCAUUAUGAUUUUAUAUUGGAUUAUCACAUUCUUAUGCCUGAGGCGUGCUUAAUUUGUCCUAGUAGCUUGCUGUCCGUAUGUAUUUGUGCAGUGAAUGAGUGACAGUCUUAUCUGGUGAUUUACAGUUAAAAGUUACUGCAUUUUGAGCCUUCCAGAUAUACCAACAGAUGUAGGCAUUCAUUCUUAAGAGUUAUCAGCCUGUACCAACUCAUGACCUCACAUUUGUAGAAUAUCAAGCCCGAACCAAUAAGCCACCAUCGCCAGUGAUUAGUGGUCUCCCAUAAGUGUGGGCUAACAUAAUCAUAAGAAUUAUUCGGCGAAAACAAAUUCAUCCAGAGGGUCACUUAUUUCUGAGAAUAGGAAAGUGAAGGGUCCAGUUUCUUGUCUUGUUUAUUCAUUUUUUUUUUCUGUUGCUGUCGGGUGGGUAUGCAUAUAAUUCUUUUUGUCUAAUCACUCUCAUUGUUUGUUCCUUAUGCAAGAAAGUAAUUUUUGUUGUUCAGGACUAAUUAAUCGUCCUGUUCCAGGAUUUUGGAUAAGACAUAUGAAAAAUGUGGAAGGACCAUCAACGGUGGAGGACAUAAGAUGCGUGGAGUCUCCUGUUCUCUUCCUCUCUAGUCUUUCCUUAGAUGAGAAAUAUAAAGAAGGUGGAAAGACAAUCAAGUAAUCUUCAUAGGCAUCUCUCCUCAUUUAAACCGUUAUAUUCUAUACGUUGCCAGAAGUUGAGGGACUUGACAGAGGAUGGCUUCCCUCCCUCCUUCCAUGUAUUCAGCAUAACUUGAUGUGAGAUUCUGAUAAGAUCGGUGCUCAAAACUCCGUGGUGACUAUUGGCACCUCAUCCAAGCAAUCCCACUCCUAGUAAUUGAUUGAGUUCGGAUUCAAUAGGAAGAUUUCUCUCCAAUGUCUAAUUUUUGUUCUUCAGGUAACGAUUCAGAUUUCUUUCAGACCUCUUUCUUUCUUGCAAACUUGUUGUUUAGCUAUUGCUGCUGCUCCAGGAUCCAUUUCUAUUCCGAAUCCUCAAUCCGAUGGUAAAAAGUUCAUGUUUUUCCAUGGACAAGCUUCACCAAAACUUCCACAGACCAACUCCUGAAUGUCCAACGUUGACAAUUGGGUUGCUAUGUUUUGUUUGACAAGGAAGUACGCAAUAAAAUGGUUAAAAUGCUAAAGUGGUACAGCAAGUCAACCAUUGUUUCAUAAAAGUGACUAUUCCUCAAAACAAAUAAUGCUUACAUGGACUUGCUCACUGUGCUGGAAUUACGAUGCAUGGAUGUACCUGUCUUUAUUGAUGAUAUAUCUUGAACUUUGUUUGAUGCCCAAAAGUUGCUCAUCUUUCCACUUAUGGAAAUGCACUAUGCUUUGUGAGGAUCGUGAAGAGUGGUUGCUCUUAUAUUGAUUUUUUUCUGCAAUUUCAGUGCUUCUUGUACGUUCUCUUCCUAACAUCUUUUUCUUAUGCCCCAGAUGAGUGACCUGUAUGCUCAACUGUGGUUGUUUUGCAGAGUAUCCCGCUAACAUUUGUAUUUGGCAAAGUCUCUCGGGAGGAGCAAAUGCAAAUACUGUUGAGGUAGGCGACACGUGCUUAUGUUCAUCUUUUGCCACUGGGCAAAAGCAAAACAAAAAGCUAUAAAUUUAGGUAGGUGUACUAAUAUGCUCGUACUUUUUUUGCGACAUGCCUAAAGUUUAAUUUGUAUCACGAGGUCUACAUUCAAAGUCAAAUUAAGAAGCUUUCUUACUUCUAACAAUAGCAGCUACUUUAAAGACGCAAAAAUAGGAUUUAAAACAGUGAUUUUCGAGUUGGAGAAUAUGACAACUAACUUUGAAUCAACCCUUCAAUUUACAUCCAUUUAAAUGUGACUUCAGUGUCAGAGUUCACAGUUCAUCUUUCUUCUAUUUAAAUUUCCACAACAUCUUACACCCACAAAAAAAAAAAAAAAAAAAGAAUCCCACGCCAUCUCAUGUAACAUUUUCUUUUUCUUUGUUGUAAAGGGAAGGUGGAGAUGAGCUAUCAAGGAGACUAUGCUCUGUUACUCUAUUGAGUGAUUGCAAAAGUUCCACGCCAUCUCAUGUAAAUUUGAAAAGACACAUGAAAAUCUAGAAAUAAUUCUAAUAGACAAGUGCAAGAGAGAUUACUAAAUGAAAAAUCACAGUAAAAAAUGAGCAUCAAAAGAGGCGGACGAAAAUUAUAGUAAUAUUCAAUUUUAAGCAUGGCAUGUAACACGUGGGGAAAUUCUACUAGUAAUAGAAAAACAUAGGCAUUCGCAUAGGGAUUGAAGAGGAGGAUGUAAGAAGUGAAGCAACAAUGCCAAUUUGCGUUAUGCAAAAUCUUUGUCUUCUCCAUUUGCUCUCUUUCGCCUCUAUUUCACUUUCUAGACAAAAAGUACAUGAUGUUCAGUAAAGUCUUGGUCUUCCUGAAUUUAUGGUUUAUUCACAUGAUAAGAGCAUUUGUGGAUAGAAAGCAUUCUUGGAAGUCUUGGUCUUUGCUUACACUUUUUGGUAGGUGAAAGUGUGGUCUUCUUGGACUUUAUAGUUCUCUCUCCAUUAGAUCAUUAUCACUCGGCUUCACCAUUAGUCCCCCUGCUUAAGUAGUGUUCUCCUCCUGCUCGUCCAAACCUAGCACUCGUGCUUGUUGGAUUGCUGUCAUUGAGCUAAUCCCAUUCGUCAGUCUGCUCCAGGAGGUCUACUCGAAACAGGUAAGAGACAUCUAUCUUUUUUUUUGGUUGAAAGAGACAUCUAUCUACUUGCUCUAUUUUCCCUCGAACUGAUGCACCCGGAACUUCACUACCGGAAGCAUCUAGUGGGCAUUUAUUACACGAGAGCAACCAUCUAUUCUUUCCAAAAUCUUUCUAUUAAUGGAGGCAAAAGCAUUAUUUUGAGCAAAAGAAGAGGCGACAGCAGCAGCAGCAGCAGCAAUAUUUUGGUUCUUAAACCGGUUUCCUGCCUAUCUAUAAUCCUAAUUAAAGUUGAUGUCAAGUUUAUUAACAAAAAAAUGUCAUUAUAAUUUUUGUUAGAUAGUAAGAUUAGGACAUUAAGAUUAAUUUCCUCUCUCUAUCACUGUUCUUUUUACUAAACACACACUGAUGUGAAAUGAUUUUACACGAUUAGCAGCAUUGAGAUCAAAGUAUGCAUUUAUAAUUGAAUUGGAACUUUUAUCCUGCUUGCAGAGUAAUUAUUUUACAGCGUCAAUGUUUUGGAAUGUUAGUCCAUGAAAUUGGGUAAGCAAGAAUCAAUAUCAUAAGAGGAUAGCUUCAUUCCUCUUCAGUAGAGAUUAAGGGGAAAGUCGCGUUUGUCAUAAUUUCGCAGUGCCAAACAAAAUAAAUUACUUUUUUGUUGUGUCUUUUCACAUAUUUGCUCUCACAACAAAAAGUCCUUAUUAUAUAGAUUUAGUGAACUUACCAUCAACUGGAAGGGGUAAGAUGAAUUAGUAAGGUAUUUGAGAUUUAAUAUUCUUUUGAGGUGUGCCAGUGUAAUCAAUCAAGUAAAGUCAAUACGGUUGCAAUUUAAACUUCACGUGAAGUAGCUUCUGCCGAAGCCCUAAGGGUGUUAGGUGUGGACAACUAAUUUUUAUCGUGCGGAUAUCGAUGAUGGUUCAGUGCAAGAAUACUAAUUCAUGUAUUUUCUUUCAAGACACAGAAAAAUGUGCAAUUGCUCAUGAUAAAUAAUUAAAUUUUGAAUAAUGAAAAAUCAAAAUUGUGCUCUGUUAGAAAAAGACCACGCAAGAACUCGUGUAUUGUUAGAAAACUCGGCAUUUCUACAUAAGAAAAGUUCUUGAGAUUGUUUUUUUUGGUAAGAAAGUUCUUGAGAUUGUUCAUCUUUUAUAAUGUGAAAAAAGAUGAAUGAGAAGUAAAUGUUCAUCAUUGUGCAUGCCCCCAAGGAAAAAGUAAAAGAUAUGAUAGAGAAAACGGAAUGGGGAAAAGAAUAUAGUGUCACCACCUAAAAGAAGUGAAAUGCUCGCACCACAAAAAAGAAGUGGAAUGCAUUUCCUUAUUUAUUGAACAAACAAAGUUAGCCGCUUUUGAUGUCUUUACAUGGUCGUCCACAUUGAAGGAGAAAUCUAUAAUCAUCUUAUAUCUUAAACAAAUGUGAGCUUUUAGCACUGCAACCGCCAUAUAAAAAUCUACAUUGAUCUCAUAUUCACAAUAAAGCAUAAAACAAAGAUAUUAAAAUAAUAAAUAUACUAAUAAUAUACGGAUGUGAAAAAAGCACUCAAACAUUUAAACAAAGGGAGAAUUACCAAAAAAAAUCCUAAACCUAUUGCAAUUGUAUCAAUUCAGUCCUAAACUUUUUUUUUUUUUUGCCAAUUUAGUCCUAAACCUUUUACAAUUGUGCCAAUUCAGUCCAUUCGGCCAAAAUUGGCCGGCCGGUGCUGACGUGGACGCCGGCCGAAGACAGCUGGCCAACGAACGCUGAUGUGGCAAUUUUUAAUUUUUUUUCGAUUUUUUUCUUUUUUUCUUUUUUUCUCCUUCCUUUGGUCGGCCGGCGUCGGCCAGAGGCGAGACCUCACCGGCCACUGGUGGAGGCGGGCCUCGCCCAGCGACAGCGAGGCGGCCGUCACCAGAUCGCCUCGCCAACCACGAGCGAGGUCGACCCAAUCCUCGCCAGUGGCCGGCGAGGGGGCCGUAGCUAGAUCUGGCGAGUCUCCACCUUGCCAUGGCUAGGCAAGGUCAAGCCUUGCCAGAUUUGGCGACCACGGCCUCGCCGUCGCUAGGCGAGCUUGGCCCUCCCCGGCCACCGGCGAGGGUGAGGCCCCGCCGAAUUGUGUGGUGUAGUCGAGGAAUCCGCAGAGGAGCUCGAUCUCGUCCUCGUCAGUCCAGAGGCGCUGGAACAAGGGCUUGGCGACGGUCACGACUGGGGAGGGCCACUUGAGCUCAGAGGGGGAGAUUGUGCCGACGAUCGGGGGGAUGGGGGAGGCGGCGGGGGUGGCAAUGGCAACGGCAGCCUCGCCAUAUCUGGCGGGGCCUUGCCCUCGCUAGUGGCCGGCGAGGGCCAAGCUCGCUGGAUUUGGUGGGGCCUCGCCCUCGCCAGUGGUCGGUGAGGUUGUCCUCACCCGCCUUCGCCUCCGGCCGGCGAGGGCGAGCCUCGCUGGCCAGAGGAAGGAGAAGAAGGGGAAAAAAAAAGAAAAAAAAUUCAAAAAUUCAAAAAAAAAAAAAUCAAAAAAUACUUUUUUUUUAAGUACUAAAAAUUGCUACAUUAGCGUUUGUCGGCUAGCUGUCCUCGGCCGGCGUCCACAUCAGCGUCGGCCGGCCAAUUUUGGCCGGAUGGACUGUAUUGGCACAAUUGUAAAAGGUUUAAGACUAAAUUGGCCAAAGAAAAAAGUUUGGACUGAAUUGGUACAAUUGCAAUAGGUUUAGGACUUUUUUUGGUAAUUCUCCCUUUAAACAGAGGAUAAAAGGUGAUUUUUCUCCAACAAAACACUCAAGCAUUGGAUUUUUUUACGAAAAUAUGCAUGUGCUCUAAGUUUAUGGAGAAAAAUAACCUUUUAUCCUUUGUUUGAAUGCUCAUAAGAAAAGUCUUGAUUAGAAGAAAAAGAGAAGAAUUGAUGAAACAACACUCUAGUGGACAUAAACUAUUUUACUUUGAUUUGUCUAACCUUUGCUAUGCAUCCCUUAAAGACUUGAUCUUUUUUAAUCUAAUUGGUAUGUGAACAUCCUGGUAUUCCCAUACUUCAUUGUUUUCUCUCUCCAAUAGCUCAUUGUUACUUUGCUUCACCAUAACACCUUUGAUGUUCUCGACAGUGACCGAUUCACCCAUGGCCAUUGGAGAGAUCGUUUUGGGUUCCUUCUUGGCUUCCUUCAUUCAGGUUCUAUUCGACAAGUUGUCUUCUCUCACAUUGGGCUAUGCGCAACGAGAAGGAUUCAAUGCUGCCUUGCUUGAGGAGUGGAAGGGAAUGUUUUUGACAAUCAAUGCAGUGCUAGUUGAUGCAGAGGACAAGCAACUCAGCAAUAAUCCUCUAGUGAAGCUAUGGCUGGACGAUGUUAGGGACUUAACCUAUGACAUCGAAGACUUGCUUGAUGAGUUGGCGAUCAAAAUCACUCAAGUGGAGUCGAAGGCAAAAUCCAGCACAAGCAAAGGUCUAGAGAAAUGCAAGUCCUCUUUCUUUGGCCGAGAUAAAUUCUCCGGAUUGAAUCCAAACUUGCACUCACUUGUGUCGGAAACCAAGGUACAAGAGAUCAAUGGCAGGUUGAAAGCAAUUGUCACUAGGAAGGCUCAUCUAAGCUUGAGAGAGAAUGUUAUGGACAAAUCCAACCACGCCAACAAAAGGGAUCCCACCACUUCUUUGUCGGAGCCUCAGUUUUUGCGUAGGGAGAAGGAAGAAGCACAGAUAAUUGAACUAUUCAUAAGUGAGGUAGAAAAUUCCAAUGCCACGCUAAGCAUAGUCCCCAUAGUUGGGAUGGGCGGCAUUGGAAAGAUAGCCUUGGCUCAACGAGUAUAUAAUGAUGCCAAAGUGAAUAGUUGUUUUGAGAAAAGAGCAUGGGUUUGUGUCUCAGAUGUUUUUGAUGUCCUUGACAUAACAAAGACUAUAUUGCAGUCGAUCACCGGGUUGUCCAACGAGGGUGAAGAUCUUAACAAGCUUCAAGUUAAGUUGAAGGAUAGUCUAUCUGGGAAGAAGUUUCUUGUGGUUUUAGAUGAUAUAUGGAAUGAAAAAUAUGAAAAAUGGACUGCCCUCUUAAAGCCAUUUGAAGCGGGGGCUAAGGGAAGCAAGAUCAUCAUUACAACUCGCAACCUUCAUGUUGCCUCUAUAACAAGAGCUCCGCCAUAUCCUUUGAGAGAAUUGUCCUUUGAUAAUUGUGUAAGCUUAUUAGCCUUUCAUGCUCUUGGAGCAACAAAUUUUGAGAGCCACCCAGCUUUUAAAAUAAUAGGCAAGAAAAUAGCUGAAAGAUGUAAAGGUUUACCUUUGGCGGCAAAGAUGUUGGGCGGUGUCCUACGUACUAAACUUAAUCCUGAUGAAUGGCAAGAUACCUUAAAUAACAAAAUAUGGGAUCGUCCGACAGCAGAGAAUGAUGAGGUUCUCCCAGUUUUAAAAUUGAGCUAUGUCUGUCACGCCCCGAUCCUCGGGCACACACACAUCCUUCUCAUUCUGGUCGAUUUUAUAAUGCGAUAUCCCAGGACAAUGUAUCGCCGACCCUUUCAUUUAUUAAGCACAUGCGGAAGCAGUUAAAAUCCCCAGACAAUAAAACAAUGGGAUAGAAAAGCAGGGCCAUAUUUUUCAUAUUGAAAUUUAUAACCAAACUUUUACACAAAACACAAACCAGAGUACUUCACAACUUUUUACUCUAUUUCUAUUCACAUCAAAUUAGAGAUCUCAAAAGAAGAUAGAAUCUCAGUCCAUCCGGAUCAUAUUUGAGACUCCUCUCAGUAUUAUCUUCUUCUUUCAAAAAUCCUUCUCCUCAAGUUUCACCUCCGAGUUCUCCUUCUCAGACUCCUCCUCAUCAGCUCCUCAUCGGGAUCCUGAAAUGUUUUUCCCCAAACUGGGAUGAGACUAUGUCUCAGCGAGUUCUACCCCACUAAGCCCGAUUAGUAAACCAUUAUACUAUAGGCUGCCUAUACACGCACAGGGUAGAAGACGUACCUUGGCAUCAGAUCCCACCUGCAAGUCAGUACAAUUCAUAAUAGGCACCCAGGCAAUCAUAUCACCGAUCGAAGCAUUGAUCAAAUCGACCUAGUCGAUUACAAGCCAACAAGACCACUCACGGUCAUUCCCAUUCAGUCAAUUAAUUCACGACGUCAAAUCAAAGCAAUGAUCAAUCAACCUAGUCGAUUACAUGUCAUCACGACCCAUGCUCGAUCGGCAUAUUCAAUACUAUCUAUAAAGUCCUAUCAAAUCAGGACUGCUCACCCAAAGCUGAUAAAUAGAUAGCAUAGCUCGCCCAAAGCUGAUAAUAAGGUAUACUGCUCACCUAAAGCUGGCAUAUCGCCCGAAGGCCGAUAUAGUAUACCGGUAUAUUGCUCACCCAAAGCUGACAUAUCGCCCGAAGGCCGAUAUAGUAUACCAUAUGCUCACCCAAAGCUGAUAAUAUAUUGCUCGCCCAAAGCUGAUAAUAAGGUAAACUGUUCACCCAAAGCUGACAUAUCGCCCGAAGGCCGAUAUAGUAUACCGGUCUACUGCUCACCCAAAGCUGACAUAUCGCCCGAAGGCCGAUAUAGUAUACCAUAUCCACCGUCCAAUAUUCUCAUUAUUUUUAUCAUGCCCGAUAAAAUAGUCGUGUGGAUACACGAUCGGCUUUAGCCAAAAUAUUAUAAUUUCCUUUUUCAUAAUUCCCACCAUUCUCUAUAGCCCACCAAAACACUUUUGGUGCUGUCAAUCGACACCCGGUUAUUUUCCAAUUAAUAAUCAAAGAUUAUUCCAUUAAAGGAUAAUUCUCAAUUUCACAAAUAAUUCAAUUCAACACAAACUACAACUCGAUUAAAUAAACGAACUGCGCCAUGACAAUCGACACGAAAUUUCGGUUGUCGGCCAUCUCAAUCUUAAUUUCUGAAAAAUAAUUAAUUAAUUAAUUAAUUUCGAAAAUUAAUUAUUAAAUCUUAAAAAAUCCAUUUAGCUCAAAAUAAGGCCCAAUUAAAUAAACGGACUGCACCACGGUCAUCAGCAUAAUAUUCCGGUCACGGGCCAUCCCAGUUGAAUUUUCGGAAAAUAAAUAAAUAAUUAAUUAAUUUCGAAAAUUAAAUAAUUAAUAUUAAAAAUUCAAUUUAGCUCAAAAUAAAGCCCGAUGAAAUAAACAGACUUCACCACAGUCAUCAGCAUAAUAUUCCGGUCACGGGCCAUCCCAGUUGAAUUUUCGGAAAAUAAAUAAUUAUUUAAUUUAAUUCCGAAAAUUAAUAUUUAAAUGCCCAAAAAUCUCACUUAGGCCCGAAUCGCCAAAUUGAAGCCCGAUUAGGGGUCGGAAAAUUCCCGAGAUGCUUCCAAUAAAUAGUAGACCACGUCUACUUGUUAAUUGCGCAAUCAAUUUAUCUAAAUCGCAUCACAAUUAACUAAUAAUUGCUAAUUUAUUCUAAUCUAACAACCUAAACAUAAUUAAUUAAAACUAAACCAACCUUAAGCAUAAUUAGCCAAAUAAUCCAGGAUUAGUGAGAUUACUCACCAAAUCGCGCGCAAAUUGGAUCAAUCCGACGCGGCGGCGCGAGGAACGAAACUUCCCAAAGCACGGCUCGGUUCGGGCCCGGAAACGGCCCAAAACGAGCCUUGAACAGGGCUGGAAACCCAUUUUUCCAGCCACUGUUUUUGGCUGGACGAAGCUCGUCCGGCGGCUAGGGCGGCGAGGGGAGGCCGGCGGAGGGCGAGGGGAACGCCGGGGAGGUCCGGCGAAGCUGCGCGGUGGCCGGAGGAGAUUGGGCGGUGGCUGUAGGUGGCCGAUCCGCGGCCUGAGCUGGUCGAACAGCUCCCUGGGCGCAUGAGUAGAGACCAACAGCGCACGGCCAGUAGCGGCACGGGAGGACGGCAACUCGGCAGUGAACGGCGGAGGGCGGUGGCGUCGCGUACGUCGCUAGCUGUUCCGGUGUUCAUCCCAAAUCUGUUGGGACCUCGAGUAGUGCCAAGGAGAAGAAGAAAUCGACACCAGCAGAAGGGGAAGAGGAAGGCGGAGGGCGUUCGAGCGGCGGCAGAGCACGCGGGCAACGCGCGGGCGGCGACGAUGCUCCGGCGCGACGGCGAGCUGCUGUCUUCGUUUCUGCUUCUGCUCGUUGGGCACACGGAGAGGGAGAAGAAGAGAGAUGUCGAGAGAGUGAGGGAGUCCAGAGAGAGAGAGAGUUAGAGAUAAGAGAGAGUGAGGGUUUGAAAAGUCAAAAGUGAAAAGGUGGAGAAAGCCAAGUUGAAGACAGCCGUGUAUUCGGCGGGAAGGGGGCAUUUCGCACGAGGGGGAAAAAGAGAGAAGGAGAGAGAAAGAAGGAAAGAGAAACUUGUGGGAAAGUUAGGUGUUUGGUCAAAUGGGGUAAAAAGAAAUGGGAAUCAAUUCAAAAGAAAAUAAUUCCCUCAAAUAGAAAAUUCUUAAUUCAUUUUUUUCUUUUGAAUAAGCUGGUUGAUUCCCAAAAGAAAUUUCAGAUUAUAGAACUCGGUUCCCACUUGCAUUUCUGGAUCCAUUUUCCCUCUUUAAUUUCUCUCAAAUGACUCUCAUAAAAUCAAUUGAUGUCUCACUUAUCAAAUUGAUUAUUUUCCUCAUCCAAGAAUUCCCUCAUGCUUCUCAAUUUCACAAUCUCCGGCUUCAACUAAACGAAAACGGCCAUAUUUAUCCAGUGAAAAUUAAAACCCGAAAAUCUGGAUGUCACAACUCUUCCCCUCUUAUAAAAAUUUCGUCCUCGAAAUUUAAACCUUUAUCAGUCCUUAAACGAAAGGUGGGAGUAUUGUCGUCUCAUCGGGUCUCACUUUUUCCCACGUUAAUCCUUCGGUCUUGUGGUGUUGUCUAACCACUUUGAAUAAGGAGAUCAUGUUGGUACACAAACUCUGCUCUUUCUGGACCAGCAACUGUACUGAGCUUCUCACAUAAGACACGAUGUCAUCCACAUCUGAUCACUUUUUCUCGACUCUCUAGUAAACCUUCAAACCUCAACAAUUCAAAAUUUCUGACAGUUCUUAGCAGUCUUUACUCUAACACUGAUCUGACAACUACAAACACUGAUUACUGAGCUGACUCUGGGCUGUAAUCUUUCUUCACUUUCUUUUCACCACUGAAAUUCUGUACCCUCUGCUAUACACUGCUUAAGAAAGAAUUCUCUGAAAACUUGGCCAAAUUUAUAAUCUCUGAUCUAGAUUUGAAAUAUAAUCCAUCCCCGGCACUCCAUGCCGGUGAAUUAUCUGAUGCACACACACUUCGGUAUAUCCAUUCUGUGACAUGACAGAAUCUUCAAUUUCUGAAAUCGAACUUAGAUUGGCGGUUAAUUUCACUCUGACACGCUUUUAGUGUGACCUAGGCUACUGGGUAGUAUUCAGAGCUUUUCUUUUUAGGACAAAUGACCCGUGGUCGAUUUUCUUCGAGCCACAAUGAACCCACUCAACCCAUUGGUGACAAUCGAUUGUCGUGAAAAUCUCAAGGAUUCAAAUACGGACACAGGGUACCGAAACGAUAGAAACAUCAAAUUAGUACCGGUCGAUGAGAAUUUUUUCCAAUUUAGUGGAGUCACCCACGAUCGGUCAUUCAUCUCAAUCGAACCGAUCUAUCUCUAAUUUCAAAUCGAUUUUAUACUGUGCCGCAAUGAUCUCUAAAGAUGAGCACGGUCGAGAAGUCAAUCCCUGGUCGAAUUCUCAAGUCUAUUUGCCUUAAGGUCCUUAAUAACUCACCCAGCUAGUCUAGUUAUCUCAUGAGUGGCCAACUCAGAGAAAAACACUGUAAUCGCAUCGAUGAAAUGCCCAAUUUAUCUAAUCGAAACCAGAGUCGAAAUCUAGAUCACACACUCAAAACAAGAUAUAUUCGUACUGUACCAAAGUGGACCAACUCCAUCUAUCGAUCAACCACUAUUCUCAAAUGGUAUCAGUAAUUCCCUGAAUCCUUAGUAAGCCAUAUAUUUCCAUUUCCACUUGGGACUCUCGAGUGAUGCUAAAAUCUUCCGGAUUUGCAUUACUGAACUUCCACUUACUGACACCUUUGACACUUGCAACCUGCUUGGCGAUAUCUAUCUUCAUAUCGGUCUACCAAUUUAGCUGACGUCGAUUCUGACUUAUUUGCACCAUCUGGUCAAAACUGUGAUACUAUAGUGAACUUCUGACAAGAUCUUUUCCCUAAGUGUUACACUGUCAAGUGCACUCAAUCACUCAUGGAACCCGAACUUUCCAUCCUCAGAAAUCUUAAAGUCAAUAUCUUUCUUACUAGUAUUCUCUUAUAAGAUUUUCUGCACAUCUCUGCUUGUCAACUAGGCGCCGAUUCUAACUUGAACAUUUGGUUCAAUUUUGAGGGCGGCUAUAAAAUUUAAAAGGUAGCCUACCUCAAAUUUGAAAACCAAAUUUCGAACCCUUUUUAAGUAAAGUUUAUACUUUAGCCAGCCUAUGUAUAAUCGAAGACUCUCGGCUCAACACAUAAAUUACUUCUUUCAUUCUCCCAAGAUAAUACCAGAUAACAUCAUUAUAGUUCUGCCAAAAUUCUGAUUCACGACACUGUUUCAUGUUCAACUUGUUGGGUCUCAACUGGCGGGACGGUUAUACAACAAUCUUCUCAUGUUGUAUCAAUACAUACCCAGUCGUUGGUAAGACACAUCACUAAAGAUUUCAUGCUUUCCAGAGUCAAAUGAAAAGUUUAGCACAAGUGCGUAGCUUGAUCUUACUGAAGCUCUGAAACUUAUCCUCGUACUUGUCUAUGCCAAUGAAUUUNNNNNNNNNNNNNNNNNNNNNNNNNNNNNNNNNNNNNNNNNNNNNNNNNNNNNNNNNNNNNNNNNNNNNNNNNNNNNNNNNNNNNNNNNNNNNNNNNNNNGAUGAUACUGAUGCUGAGAUUCUUUCACAAACCUUCCGUAGUAAUCUGUCCAAUCCCCACAACUUCUGAUCUCUGACAUUGAUGUCGGUCUCGGUCCAUUAACAACUUAUUCGAUCUUGGUUGGGUCCAUGAAGAUUCCUUUACCUGUAACCACACGACCAUUCUUAGGGGCAUCUCGUGAUUCUCAACACUUAAUGAACACCCUAUAAUGUCGCUACACCACACGAUCACCAUUGAUCUAGAUAUUCUUUGAAUACUCGGUUUGUCAAAUCUAUGACAACGGCUGGAGCGUUCGUUAUAUCAAAUGGCUUUACAUUAUUCUCACAAGGGCUAAAUCAAGUGCGAAAUGUUGUCUUCAGUAUAACCUCAUUUCUGGUUCUCAACUGACGAUAACCUGUCCUCAAGUCGAUCCUUGAAGACAUUAACACUCUUUAUAACAAGUCACCCAAUUAAGUUGACAAUGGUUGAUGCAUGAUUGCAAUGAACCAUCUUCAUUUCUCUUUCCACAAAACUGAUGUUCCUUAAAGCGAUGCACUAAUAUGCAUGAAUUCCUCAUUCAUCAAUCCUCACACUUGCAUAAUUGGUUCUAUCAAUUCAGGCAACAACAACCGGUAAGAAACUUUAGAGAAUGGUUCUGUUCCAGGUGCUAGCUUGAUCGUAAAUUCUAUCUCACUUAUUGACAAUAGGCCUGACAAUCCUUCUGGCAACACUUCCAGAAAUUCUUGGACUACUGAGGAGUCCUCAAUUUUCAAUUCUUCAAUCUGUCUUAUUUUUGACAAUUGUCAAGUAACCUAGGCAACCUCCAUCUAACAAACGGAUUGCCUCAAGUGACGAGGUUAAAGAAGUCAAGAACCCUUCUCGACUCUCAAUAAAACUUGGCACUUCUACCUGCUCCUGGAAUAAACUGGGUUAUUCCACUAUAACAAUUCAUCACUACAAAAUGCUCCAGAGCCAAUUCUUUCCACACUUAACGAUAGAGUUGUACACCAACAGCCAAUCGAGUACAACUCUAGUCAAUGGUUCUUCUCCUACAGCCUUAACAAACAACUGAAAUUCCACACUUGCAAUCCCAACAUUCUCUGGCACUAUUCUGAUAAAAUCACCUCAAAACAUUCUUUCAUUGAAUAAGGCAUGGUCGGUUCCGUUCCUGUUCCUUUUGCCAUCUUGCUGGCGUUCUAACGGUAGUAACAGUUGUCGAGAUUCCAUCUACUUAUGCAGAUACCACAUAGUUCACUAUCCGUACUGGCGAUACUUAUCACAAUUUCCUGUCCUCAAAAUACAUGAGACUGAUCCAUACCAUCUUCCUUGUAACACAUCUUCCACGGAACACAUGUUCCAUUUGUCUGAAUACUGACUUGACUAUGCCGCCCUUCCUAUUGGGUGGAAUAGAAUACUUUUCUCUCGACCUCGGUCUUUCCUCUGACCGAUUUCCAUUUCUACCUGAAUUGGAUCUGUACCUUGACUUGGAAGCGAUGGCUCGAUUCCAGAUCAUAUCCCCACUCUAGAUCUCAACAGGUGUAGCAACAAAGGCGCUUGCAACACUAACGGCAGUAGAGAUAGCGACAACGACAACGGCUUGAUCCUGAGCUUACUGGCUCAUCCAGUUCCCAAGGAACACUUGCAUCAGAACGAUCCUGUCGAACUUAGGAUCAUUCGACGCUGCUACACUAGUACCAACCUGCAGUGGUACUCUUACACUCGAGCUAGCUAGAGCCGACACUCUGCCACAACCACCUCGGGUACCGACCUUUGUCAGUGCAUUAUCCCGAGUCACAGAGGACAUUGUCCUCUUACUAGGAGUUCUCAGCUCCUGCUCGCUCAUGGUUCAGUCUUUACACUGAAACCCGUCUUCCACAUCCACACUGGAUUAGAAGAUGAGCGAUCCUCACACGACAAUCAAUUCUAACAUCCAGCUCACACAGACAUGCACCAGCAUGAAUUUAAAGGCCUUUCCUACUAACUAUCCCAUGGUCAACGCUCCUUAUCACUCCAAUCUUCAACUUCGCUCUGAUACCACUUAAACUGGAUGUCACGCCCCGAUCCUCGGGCACGCACACAUCCUUCUCAUUCUGGUCAAUUUUAUAAUGCGAUAUCCCAGGACAAUGUAUCGCCGACCCUUUCAUUUAUUAAGCACAUGCGGAAGCAGUUAAAAUCCCCAAACAAUAAAAAGAUGGGAUAGAAAAGCAGGGCCAUAUUUUUCAUAUUCAAAUUUAUAACCAAACUUUUAUACAAAACACAAACCAAAGUACUUCACAACUUUUUACUCUAUUUCUAUUCACAUCAAAUUAGAGAUCUCAAAAGAAGAUAGAAUCUCAGUCCAUCCGGAUCAUAUUUGAGACUCCUCUCAGUAUUAUCUUCUUCUUUCAAAAAUCCUUCUCCUCAAGUUUCACCUCUGAGUUCUCCUUCUCAGACUCCUCCUCAUCAGCUCCUCAUCGGGAUCCUGAAAUGUUUUUCCCCAAACUGGGAUGAGACUAUGUCUCAGCGAGUUCUACCCCACUAAGCCCGAUUAGUAAACCAUUAUACUAUAGGCUGCCUAUACACGCAUAGGGUAGAAGACGUACCUUGGCAUCAGAUCUCCCCUGCAAGUCAGUACAAUUCAUAAUAGGCACCCAGGCAAUCAUAUCACCGAUCGAAGCAUCGAUCAAAUCGACCUAGUCGAUUACAAGCCAACAAGACCACUCACGGUCAUUCCCAUUCAGUCAAUUAAUUCACGACGUCAAAUCAAAGCGAUGAUCAAUCGACCUAGUCGAUUACAUGUCAUCACGACCCAUGCUCGGUCGGCAUAUUCAAUACUAUCUAUAAAGUCCUAUCAAAUCAGGACUGCUCACCCAAAGCUGAUAAAUAGAUAGCAUAGCUCGCCCAAAGCUGAUAAUAAGGUAUACUGCUCACCCAAAGCUGGCAUAUCGCCCGAAGGCCGAUAUAGUAUACCGGUAUAUUGCUCACCCAAAGCUGACAUAUCGUCCGAAGGCCGAUAUAGUAUACCAUAUGCUCACCCAAAGCUGAUAAUAUAUUGCUCGCCCAAAGCUGAUAAUAAGGUAUACUGUUCACCCAAAGCUGACAUAUCGCCCGAAGGCCGAUAUAGUAUACCGGUAUACUACUCACCCAAAGCUGACAUAUUGCCCAAAGGCCGAUAUAGUAUACCAUAUCCACCGUCCAAUAUUCUCAUUAUUUUUAUCAUGCCCGAUAAAAUAGUCGUGUGGAUACACGAUCGGCUUUAGCCAAAAUAUUAUAAUUUCCUUUUUCAUAAUUCCCACCAUUCUCUAUAGCCCACCAAAACGCUUUUGGUGCUGUCAACCGACACCCGGUUAUUUUCCAAUUAAUAAUCAAAGAUUAUUCCAUUAAAGGAUAAUUCUCAAUUUCACAAAUAAUUCAAUUCAACACAAACUACAACUCGAUUAAAUAAACGAACUGCACCAUGACAAUCGGCACGAAAUUUCGGUCGUCGGCCAUCUCAAUCUUAAUUUCUGAAAAAUAAUUAAUUAAUUAAUUAAUUCGAAAAUUAAUUAUUAAAUCUUAAAAAUUCCAUUUAGCUCAAAAUAAGGCCCAAUUAAAUAAACGGACUGCAUCACGGUCAUCAGCAUAAUAUUCCGGUCACGGGCCAUCCCAGUUGAAUUUUCGGAAAAUAAAUAAAUAAUUAAUUAAUUUCGAAAAUUAAAUAAUUAAUAUUAAAAAUUCAAUUUAGCUCAAAAUAAAGCCCGAUGAAAUAAACAGACUUCACCACAGUCAUCAGCAUAAUAUUCCGGUCACGGGCCAUCCCAGUUGAAUUUUCGGAAAAUAAAUAAUUAUUUAAUUUAAUUCCGAAAAUUAAUAUUUAAAUGCCCAAAAAUCUCACUUAGGCCCGAAUCGCCAAAUUGAAGCCCGAUUAGGGGUCGGAAAAUUCCCGAGAUGCUUCCAAUAAAUAGUAGACCACGUAUACUUGUUAAUUGCGCAAUCAAUUUAUCUAAAUCGCAUCACAAUUAACUAAUAAUUGCUAAUUUAUUCUAAUCUAACAACCUAAACAUAAUUAAUUAAAACUAAACCAACCUUAAGCAUAAUUAGCCAACUAAUCCAGGAUUAGUGAGAUUACUCACCAAAUCGCGCGCAAAUUGGAUCAAUCCGACGGCGGCGGCGCGAGGAACGAAACUUCCCAAAGCACGGCUCGGGUUCGGGGCCCGGAAACGGCCCAAAACGAGCCUUGAACAGGGCUGGAAACCCAUUUUUCCAGCCACUGUUUUUGGCUGGACGAAGCUCGUCCGGCGGCUAGGGCGGCAAGGGGAGGCCGGCGGAGGGCGAGGGGAACGCCGGGGAGGUCCGGCGAAGCUGCGCGGUGGCCGGAGGAGGUUGGGCGGCGGCUGUAGGUGGCCGAUCCGCGGCCCGAGCUGGUCGAACAGCUCCCUGGGCACAUGAGUAGAGACCAACAGCGCACGGCCAGUAGCGGCACGGGAGGACGACAACUCGGCAGUGAACGGCGGAGGGCGGUGGCGUCGCGUACGUCGCUAGCUGUUCCGGUGUUCAUCCCAAAUCUGCUGGGACCUCGAGUAGUGCCAAGGAGAAGAAGAAAUCGACACCAGCAGAAGGGGAAGAGGAAGGCGGAGGGCGUUCGAGCGGCGGCAGAGCACGCGAGCAACGCGCGGGCGGCGACGGUGCUCCGGCGCGACGGCGAGCUGCUGUCUUCGUUUCUGCUUCUGCUCGUUGGUCACACGGAGAGGGAGAAGAAGAGAGAUGUCGAGAGAGUGAGGGAGUCCAGAGAGAGAGAGAGUUAGAGAUAAGAGAGAGUGAGGGUUUGAAAAGUCAAAAGUGAAAAGGUGGAGAAAGCCAAGUUGAAGACAGCCGUGUAUUCGGUGGGAAGGGGGCAUUUCGCACGAGGGGGAAAAGGAGAGAAGGAGAGAGAGAGAGAGAGUGAGAGAGAGAGAGAGAGAGAGAGAGAAAGAAGGAAAGAGAAACUUGUGGGAAAGUUAGGUGUUUGGUCAAAUGGGGUAAAAAGAAAUGGGAAUCAAUUCAAAAGAAAAUAAUUCCCUCAAAUAGAAAAUUCUUAAUUCAUUUUUUUCUUUUGAAUAAGCUGGUUGAUUCCCAAAAGAAAUUUCAGAUUAUAGAACUCGGUUCCCACUUGCAUUUCUGCAUCAAUUUUCCCUCUUUAAUUUCUCUCAAAUGACUCUCAUAAAAUCAAUUGAUGUCUCACUUAUCAAAUUGAUUAUUUUCCUUAUCCAAGAAUUCCCUCAUGCUUCUCAAUUUCACAAUCUCCGGCUUCAACUGAACGAAAACGGCCAUAUUUAUCCAGUCAAAAUUAAAACCCGAAAAUCUGGAUGUCACAAUGUCCAUCUUCCUUCCUAUUUGAAGAGAUGUUUUGCUUAUUGUGCGGUAUUUCCCAAGGAUUACGAAAUUGAGAGGGAUGAGUUGGUACUCUUAUGGAUAGCAGAGGGACUUUUAGAUGUGCAAAAAGCAAAUGAGAAUAUCUUGAAAUUGGGACGAAAGCACUUUGAUGAGUUAGUAUCCAGGUCAUUUCUUCAACAAUCAAGUAUCGACACAUCUAAGUUUUCAAUGCAUGAUCUUUUGAAUGAUCUGGCAAAGUCAAUUUUGGGUGGGACUUGCUUUAGCUUGGGGGGGUCUUAGGUGGCAAGUAACGAACAUGAUGUAUCAUCUCUUGAAAAAACUCGUUAUGCAUCAUUCAUCCCAUCACGGUAUGUUACAUCAAAAUGCAUGAAACCAUAUCAAGGAAUGAAGGCACUAAGAAGUUUAAUUAUGGUGCAUGAUGGAUCUAGUAGGGUCUCUUUCUCUAUUUCCAACAAGGUGCUGCAUGACUUGCUAACAAACUUGAAGUACUUGAGAGUAUUCUCGUUAUGUCGUUGUGACAUCAUAGAGGUACCGAAUUGUAUUGGUGAUUUAAAAUAUCUUCGAUAUCUCAAUUUCUCGUACACUCAUAUCGAGAGGCUAACUGAGUCAAUUGGCACCUUGUGCAAAUUACAAGCUCUAAUUUUAAGAGGUUGUCAAGAGCUUUUAAAGUUGCCUCAAGGUAUCACAAAGUUAGCCAGUUUACAGUUUCUUGAUAUUAGAGAUACAAGGAAUCUAAAAGAGAUGCCAUUGAGUAUCGGUAAUUUAAAGAAUCUUAUUAUGUUGUCCAAAUUUGUGGUAGGACUUGAGAAAGGGUCGCAAUUGAAAGAGUUAAAGAACUUGCCACAUAUUGAAGGAGAAUUAUUCAUAUCAUAAUUGCAAAAGGUGGAAAAAGUUAUAGAUGCAGUUGAUGCUGAUUUGCUUCAAAAGCUAGGCCUUACCAACUUAUCCUUGCAUUGGGGUGAACAUUUGGGAGAUCUCCAUAAUCAUGAGCGCGAAGCACAGGUGCUUGACUCUUUGCGACCUCACACUAAUCUUGAAAAUCUCGCUAUUUUGAACUAUCAUGGUGCAAUAUUCCCAUCAUGGUUAGAUUGUACAUCCUAUUCUAAAAUAGUGUCUUUAUGCUUGUGGGACUGUCCUAAUGUUAUGUCGAUGUCUAUGAUUGGACAACUACCUUCACUCAAGGAAUUAUCUCUUAAAGGUCUACAUGCAAUAAGAAUGAUAGGCUCUAAAUUUUACGGAGGUAAAAGGCCUUUUUCAUCCUUAACCACUUUGAAGUUCGAAGAGAUGUUGGCAUGGAAGGAUUGGUCUCCUUAUGUUGGGCGCCCAAAAGAAGAAGUCACAUUCUCCUGUCUUAAGCAUCUUGUUGUUUAGAAUUGUCCUUUGUUGGUCGGGACAUUGCCUUGUCAACUUGAUCAUCUCACAAAGAUUGAAAUUUAUUCAUGUCCGCAUUUGAAAAACUCAACCAAUGAUGUUUGUCUUCCAUCUCUCCAUGAGUUGUUCUUUGAGGAUUGUAACAAAGAGAUCUUGAAGAGCUUGAUCAACCUAACUUCUUUGACCAUUCUUACAAUUAAGAAUCUUGCAGAGCUUGUUUGCUUUGAUCAUGGGUUUAUGAGCCACUUGAUCAAGCUAAAGGAGCUUCAUAUAGAAGGGUGUGACCAAUUAAAAUACUUGUGGCAAGAUGGAAAUGAAAUACUAAAUCUUACUUGCCUCCAGGAAUUAACCAUCGUAAGCUGUCCUCAGUUCACAUCAUUCGUGGCAGCAGAAACAAAAAUAGAGCUGCCAUGCAACCUUGACAAGAUGAAAUUGAGGCAUUGUAGCAGUUUAGAAAAACUUCCAAGCAAGAUGUACACACUCAGUUAUUUAUCUAUUGAAUGGUGUCCAAAACUCUUAAGACCAACCAUUUCUUCAUAUGACCCCAACAGUAACAACCCAAUGUCUCAACUUCAAUCUUCAUGUACAGGGAAAUGUGAUUCUCUGACAUUUGGUCCCUCUGUCAAGGGUAGACUUGCUACUCUGAAGAAAUUUGUUAUUCAAAACUGUGAGGGAGUGGAAUCGGUGGAAGAAAUCACCAUAGAAUCACUCAAAAAUAUGGGAAUUUACAAUUGUCCGAAUCUAAGAAACCUACCACAAUUCCUUCACACACUCUCCCAUCUCACUCUAUUGAGUAUAAGUGAUUGUUGGAUAGAGGAAUUUCCUCUCCUUCCCCUCACCCUAUCGGAGCUUACACUUGCGAGAUGUCCGAACAUAAAGUCUAUCACCAAUAUCACUAGUUGUAACAAUCUCACUUCUUUGGAUAUAAGUGUGUGCCAGUCAUUGGAAAUAAUAGAUUCCCUUCCCCUUCCCAUCACCCUGACGUAUGUCUUUCUCUCUAAUUGUCUGAAGAUAAAGUCUCUACGAAAGUUGUGACAUCCCGAUUUUUCAAUUCUGGUUUCAAUUAAAUAAGUCGGGCAUUUCAUCUUCGCGUCUGUAGCUUUCUUCUCUGAGUUGGCCACUCACGAGAUAACUAGUAUAUCAGGUGAAGCCGUUAAGGAAUCUAAACGCAAUAGACUUGAGAAUUCGACCAUGAAUCGGCUACUCGACCGCAUUAAUCUGCAAGGAUCAUUACAACACUGUCAGAAUUGAACAGAGAUCAGUAAUAGGUCGAUUCGACUAAGAUAUGUGAUUAGAGUGUGGGUGAUUCCACCUGAUCGCAAUAUCCUCGUCGACCGGCACUAGACCGAUUCUUCUGUUGUUUUGGGUACCCUAUGUCCGUAAUCAAAAUCUCGAGAUUUCUACGACAAUUGAGAGUCGCCAAGGUGUCGAAGAUGCACUUUGUGGCUUGAGAAUAAUCAACCACAGGUCAAUUGCACAGAAAAUUCCUAAAAGCUACCCGGUAGAUUAGGACGCGCUAAAGUCGCGCCAGAUUGAAUUUAACAGUGAAAUUGAACCCGAUUACAGAAAUUGGAAGUUCUGUCAAGUCACAAUUCAUUUUAGGAAUGUCGACUCAUCUCUAGGAGAUUUUUCUACAAACCGAGAUUUCUGGCGGAAAAAGCAAAGUAAGGCCGUUUAUGUUCGGGAUUGUCAGAGGGCCAUUUUCAAUCGAAUCUUCGAGAUGCAAGUUGGAUCAUUUGAUGGGGAAAUGUCAUGAGAAGGCCGAUGACACAUGGGUUAAUUUAAUUGAGCUUCAAUUGGAUGGAAUUGAUUGAGAAUUGAUUGAAUUAAGUGUACAAGAUUUUAUGCCACGGCGGAAAAUGAAAUUGAACCCAUUGGAAUGAGGUUGUGGGAGAUAGUGGAAGGUGACAUCAUCCAUGAGGUCAUGGUGGGCCAUGAGAGAGAGAAAAGUGGUCCCAUCUUCCUUCUCUCUCCUCCCUCUCUCUAUUCGGUUGCCUCUCUCCUCCCUUUCCCUACCGUGCGACCAUUUCCUCCUCUCUCGAUCUUCAUCUUCUUCUUCGAAAGCCCAGCAGACCAGUGAACCAAAGCAGCUCCGCCCGUCGCCGUUCGUCCCAGCCGAAGGCUGUCGCUCGUCUAGCCCGCACGCCUCCGUUUCCUUCUCCCUCUCUCGUCAAAGCUCUUUCUCCCCCAUCUCCUUGUUGCUCGAAGGACCCAGCAGCGAACCAGAGAAGCCCCGUCCGUCGCCAUCUGCCGUCCUGUCCCCGGAGCGGUCGAAGUCGCCGUCGCUCGUAGUAGCAAGCCCGCUCGUGCAAGCUGCUCCAGCCGCGUGGUCUUGGAUGUCCGUGCGUCCGAGCUGCUUCUGUCCGUCUUCGUUGAAGCUAGCAGGAGCUCCAUCGUCGUCGUCAGCCAACCUCCGUCGCCCUUGCUCACCGGAGCCUCCCGUCCGACCUUCCCUUCGCCAUCCCAAGCAGACGAAGCCAGCAACCGUGCGCCUGCUCGUCCCUGCUGUUCCGCCAGUCCAGCAGCCAUUCCAGAACUGGGGAAGCUCCGCCGGAGCCGUCCAGCCCACCUCCGGCCUCCGUGAAGCCCCGCUUAGGUCCGGUUUGGUCUCCCCCAUCCAUCUAGGCCCUUGUGCGCCUCAACCGGUGCCGGAUCCGCCCUCAACCAGCAAUGGACAGAAGCUGGAAAAAUGGGUAUCACAAUGAAGGUUUGGCCCGUUUUGGCCAACUUCCCGACCCCGGAAGCUAGGCCCGCCUUGGAGACUAUCGACCCUCGCAUCGUCCUUGUCGUUUUGAGCCGUUCGGCUCGUUAAUCGGGUGAGUUUAUCCUCUAAUUCUUGCUUAGUGAGUUAAUGACGCUUAAGGGGUGUUUAGAUUAGUCUAAUUAGGUUUAUGUGAUUAAAUUAGAUUAUUUUAAUGUAAAUUAGAUUAGUUGUAUGAUUAGUUUAAUGGAUGUUUAAUUAGGGCUAAUUGUANNNNNNNNNNNNNNNNNNNNNNNNNNNNNNNNNNNNNNNNNNNNNNNNNNNNNNNNNNNNNNNNNNNNNNNNNNNNNNNNNNNNNNNNNNNNNNNNNNNNNNNNNNNNNNNNNNNNNNNNNNNNNNNNNNNNNUAAAUUUAAUUAUUUAAUAAUUUCGAAAAUUAUGCCGGGAUGGCCGGUCGUUAGAAUUUCGCGCUGAUCGCAGCAGUGCGGUCGGUUUGUGUUAAUUGUAUGUUUAAAUUGAGAAAUUGAGUGAUUAAUGAUUAUGGUUAAUAAUUCCAAAAGUGUUGAAUUGAGUGAUAUUGAUGAAGUUGUGGUAUUUAACUUGAAAAUACCCGGUGUUGGCUUUUAGCACCAUAAUUGGUUUGUAUGACUAGUUUGAAUCGUUGGUUGUUAUUGGAUUAAAUAUCCAGUUCUAUGGUUUAUUAUUGAAUGAUCAGCUUUGGCGAGCAUUUGUUUAUAUAUAUGUAUCAGCUUGGGCGAGCAAUUAUGAUAUACAUAUAUAUAUGGCAGCUUCUGGUGAGCUAAGAUCGUUUUAUCAGCUUGUGCGAGCACGAUCUAUCUAUACAGCUUGUGCGAGCUAUCUAUCAGUUACAGCUUUGGUGAGCUAUCUAUCUAUAUAGCUUGUGCGAGCUAUCUAUCAGUUACAGCUUUGGUGAGCUAUCUAUCUAUACAGCUUGAGCGAGCUACCGUCUAUAUAUUACAGCUUUGGAGAGCAUGUGUCGUAUUAACGACUGGUUUGAUAGACGGUAUUGAAUGAUAGAUAGUAAUGGUUGAUAGAUAGUACGGAUUGAAAUGGAAAGAUAGAUAGUAUGAUGGAAUUGAAUCAUUGCGAAUGAUUGGAUUGAUUGAAUUGAUAGACCGAUGGGUGUGUCGGUAGUUUCAGCUUGUGCGAGCAUUGUUUGAAUAUGAAUUGUACUGACAUGCAGGAAAGGACUGAGGCGAGGUAAGUCAUCUAUCCUAUUUGUGUGGCUAGAGCGCCCUGAGGCGUAUUUUCUUCCUAAUUGAGUUUUAGAGGGUAGGACUCACUGAGACGUAGUCUCAUCCCGGUUGUGGGAUAAUAUUUCAGGUCCCUAGAUGACGGUCGUGGAAGACCGGAAGUCCUGGAGUUCGGAAGGUGGAGGUUGAAGAAUCAGUGAACGUGUCUGACAAGUUGGUCAUAGGGCAGUUCCCUAGUUGUUGAGCCUGUCUAUUUUGUAGACAAUCCAAUGUUGUAUAUAAACCUAUGUGUUUAUAAGAAAGAUUGUUUGGUUGUGAUUGAUUGCCUGCUUUUCUAUCCCAAGUUAAAUGUUGUCAGGGGAUUUGUUUCGCUUCCGCAUGUGUGUAAUGAAAUGAAUGGGUCGGCGACAUGUCCUGGGAAGUCGCAUUUCUAUCGACCGCAGUGGGAUGUGCGCAUGCUCGAGGUUCGGGGCGUGACAAAAGUGGCAUCAUCUUACAUCCCUCCGGUACAUAUACAUUGUGCGUUGCCAAAAUAUCCAAUGCUUGCCCGAAGGAGGUUUGCCUCCCAAUUUGCAAUCAUGCAAGUUGCCAAAUAUUCAUUGUGAGUGUGAGAAUAUGAAACAAUGGAGCUUACCCCUGAUCACAUCCCUCACAUUUCUAGAUAUUGACUUGAGCUUGGGAAGGGAGGGAGAGAAGGGUUGGUUUCCUUCAAAGGAUGAGAAUGCCUGGAGUCUUCUCUUUCCUUCCUCUCUCACCUCUCUUUGGAUUGGCUAUAUGAGGAAUGUGGAAAGACUAUCAGAUGGCCUUCGCAACCAUCUCUCCUCUCUCCAAGAGUUAAGGUUUAAAGAUUGCCCAAAGUUGAGGGACUUACCAGAGGAUGGCCUCCCUCCCUCCCUCCAACAAUUGCACAUAUGGGAUUGCGAGAUUCUGAAAGAUCGAUGCUCAAAACAUACCAACGACUAUUGGCCCCUCAUCCAAGAGAUCCCUUACAUCAGGAUUGAUUGGGUUCGGAUUCAAUGAAUUGAUUUGUCCUGGUACGGUCAGGUUUUCUAGGGUUUGGGUAAGUUUAUGGUUUCCAAGGCAUCGAUUUCCCAUUCUACUUCCUCAAUUCGAUGUGUUACGCAAACUGAUUUUCCCUUCAUGCAGAUGUCUCACAUAAAUUUCUAGGAAAAUCCAAGAGAUCCUUGACAUGCGCAAUGAUUGGUUUCGAAUCUGGUGAAGCGAAAUUGAUCCGCUUUUGCUUUCAUUUGCUGACUGCCGCGAUUCAUCCUUCGAUGUGCCGUCAGUUUUCUAGGGUCCAGGUAAGCUUUUUAGUUUUGAAUGAAUCAAUUGCGUUUCUGUUCUUCAAUUCAAUGCUUUGUGCGAAUUAAUUUUUUCCCAUGGAGAAGUGUCGCAUAGAAUUUCCAGAAACCGUCGUAUCGUGAACUACAACUAAAAUUCAAGGCUGAAAGAAUGAUAUUUAGUUGCCUAUCCAGGCAAGAGCUUCCUUUAGUCUCCAAUUGCAUUGCUUGCAGAAGUUGAUGAUAUCCUCGUAUGUCACUACUGCAUCCAUCUUAUCUAUUGCCUUGGGCCUGUCUUUUUCUUUAGCCACUGCAACGCUCUUUUGACUGGUAAGUAAUUCAUCAUUAUCUGCAGGCGGCCGUCUCCCCUAUUUCAUUUAUGGCCUCAAUCCCAGCAACAACAUGUUAUGUAAGACCCCGUCUCAGUUAAUAUUCAUGAAACCUAGCUCAGGUUUACUCCACACACCCUGCCUUUCAUCCACCUUAUCAUGACUCAGCUUACAUUUUUAUCGGCAACACACUCCAAAUAUACCAAUAGGUCUAGGCAAUCAUUCUUAGGAGUUAUCAGCCUGUACCAAUCAUUCAAUUUCAUGACCUCACAUUUGUAGAAUAUUAGCCCAUGCCAACAAGUCACCGUCACCCGUGAUUGGUGGUCUCCUGUACUUGUAAGGUAACAAAAUCACAACAAUUUUUCAGCGGAAAAAAAAAAAUUAUCAAGAGGGUAUCCCGGUUCAUUUUUGGUUGCUGUCAAUUGGGUAUGCAUAUAAUUUUGUUCUGAUCACUCUAAGCAGGAAAGUUGAUUUUUAUUCAGGACUAAUUGAUAGUCCUGUUUCAGAUUUUUGGAUGAUAUAUAUGAGGAAUGUGGAAAGGCUAUCAACAGGGGAGGAUGUAAGAAGCGUGGAAUAUUUUGUUUCAUUGAUCUCUACGUCUCUUUGAAUGAGAACUAGGUGGAACAUGGAAAGAUUAUCAAGUUGUCUUCGCAGCCAUCUCUCCACUCUUGAACAGCUACAUUUUAUAGGUUACUGGAAUUUGCCAAAGGAUGGCUUCGUUCCCUCCUCCAAGUAUUAAGCAUAAUUCACUGUGAAUUUCUGAAAGAUUGAUGCUCAAAACUCAGUGGCGACUAUUGGCACCUCAUCCAAGAAAUCCCGCUCAUUGUAGUUGAUCAAAUUCAGAUCCAUUAAGAAGAUAUCUAUCCAAUUUCUAAUUUUUGCUCUUCAGGUAUUGAUUUGGACUUCUUUCUUUCUUGCACACUUAUUGUUUAGCUACUGCUGCUGCUCCAGGAUCCAUUUCUAUUUCAAAUCCUCAAUUUGAUGCUAAAAGGUUCAGGUUUUUCCAUGGACAAGCUUCUCCUAAAUUUCCACAAACCAACUGCUGAAGGUCCAAUGUUGACAAGGAAAUGGUUAUAAUUCUAAUGUGGUACAGCAAGUCAACCAACCAUUGCUUUGUACAAGUGACAAUUCCUCAAAACAAAAAAUACUUACAUGGACUUGUUUACAGUGCUGGAAUUAUAAUGUGUGUAUGUGUCUGUUCGUAUUGAUGAUAUAUCUUGAACUGUUUGAUGGCCAAAAAUUGCUUAUCUUUCCACUUAUGGAAAUGCACUAUGCUUUACGUGAGAAUCAUGAAGAAUUGUUGCCCUUAUAUUGUUAUCUGUCCACAACUUCAGUGUUUGUUAUGUUUUCUCUUCCAAUUAUCUUUUUUUAAUUUUUUAUAUACUAGUUCAGUGACCUGAAUUCUCUCAAUGGUUAUUGUUUUGUAGAAUACCCCAUUGUCAUCUUUAUUUGGCAAAAUUUCUCAGGAGGAUCAAUGCGAAUAGUGCCGAGGGAGGCGACUGAUGUGCUUAUGUUCAUCUUUUACAACUUGACAAAAGAACAACAAAAGGCUAUUUAUUAUUGGUAGGCGUACUACUAUGCUCUGAACUUCUUCUUUUUUGCGACAUGCUCUCAAAGAUUAAUCUGUAUCAGGAUGUCAAUUAUUGAGGUCUAUAUUCAUAGUCAAACGAAGAAGCUUCCUUACUUCCAACAACGGCAGCUUCUGUAAGGAUGCAAAAAAUAGGAUUUAAAACGGGUGUAUUCGAGUUGGCAAAUGUGACAAUUAAAUUUGAAUGAACCCUGCAGAUUAUAAGCCAUUCAAAUAUGACUUCCUUGUCAUAGUUCAUGGUUCAUCUUUCUAUUCAAAUUCCCACACUAUCUCAGAGCACAUUUUCUUUCUUUGUUGUCAAGGAAAGGCGGGAAGGAGCAAUAAGGAAGAGUAUGAUCUGUCCGAAUUCUGGAGAUAUCUCUAUGCGAGAUUCUGAAAGAUUGAUUCUCAAAACUGACCGGCGACUAUUGGCCCCUCAUCCAAGAGAUCCCUCUCAUCUACAUUGGUGGUGUUCGUAUCCAAUAAUUGAAAUUGAUCACACCCAAGCCAUGACAAAAGAUUUAUCUCCACUGACUACUUUUCCUUCUUUAGGUAAUUGUUAUCUAUUCUUUUGCUUCCAUUUACCAUCUGCUGCAAUUCACUGUUCCACCUAAAGUCAGCUUUCUAGGGUUGGGGUCAGUUUUUGGGUUUGAAGGCAUCAAUUUCUAUUAUGUUCUUAUGUUCAAUGCUUAACACGAAUUGAUUUCUUUCCAGGGAGGUGUUUUUCAAAGAAUUUCCUGAAACCAGCCAACAAAGGUCAGAGACUGACAUUCGAGUGUGUCGUGUGUGUCCUUGAUGGGGUUUUUUCUUUUUAGGCCAACUAAAAUUUGGAGCUGUAAAAUGAUCUUUAGCUUCUUGAAUCCCAACAGGAGCAUCCUUUAGUCUUGAAUUGCGCUGCUUGGAAAAAUUGAUGAUAUCCUUGUAUACCACGGCUACAUUCAGCUCCUCUAAUACCUUGGUUUAGCAUUUUCUUUAGCUACUGCAAUGCUCUUUGAACAGCAAGUAAUUCAGCCUUCUUUGCAGAUCUAGGCAUCACCACACCCCUGCAAGCAAUCAUCUCCUGCCUUUCAUUUUUGGCCAUAAUCUUGACAACAGCAUGUCUGGUUCCUUCAAUGUAAGACCCAUAAUAGUUAAUCUUCGCAAAACCUAGCUCAGGUUUACUCUACACACCCUGCCUUUCGUCCACCCAAUUAUGACCCAGCUCUCUUACAUUUUUACAGGAUACACAAUCUUAAAGAGCUUUUUUUAAUCUGUAUAAAUGACAUUUUCAGGAUCAGGUGAAUUGUUGUUAAAGAUUACUGCAUAUUAAGCAUUCCAGAUAUACCAGCAGGUGUAGCCAAUCAUUCUUAAGCAUUAUGAGCCCAUAUCAAGUCAUUUGAUCUCCUGACUCACAUUUGUAGAAUAUCAGCCAGUACCAAUAUGUCACCAUUACCAGUAAUUAGUGGUCUCUUAUACUUGUCAGUUAACAUCAUCAUAAGAGUUUUCUAGCAAAUCAUCAACAUGGUAUCCCGGUUCAUUUUUUGUUGCAGUUAAUUAGGUGUGCGUAUAAUUUUGUUCUGAUCACUCUUGUAGUUGUUCAUCAUGCAUGAAAGAUAACUUUUAUUCGGGAGUAAUUGCUCAUCCUGUUUCAGACUUUUGGAUGAGAAAUAUGAGGACUAUGGAAAGACUAUCAACGGUGGAGGAUAAGAAGCAUGGAAUAUUCUGUUUCCUUCAUCUCUAAUUUCUCUUUGGAUGAGAAAUAUGAGGAAUGUGGAAAGCUUAAGUGGUCUUCGCAGCCAUCUCUCCUCUCUCAAACGGCUAUCCUUUAUAGGUUACCGAUACUUGCAUAAGAAGAUUUCUCUCCAAUGUCUAAUUUUUAUUCUUCAGGUCAUGGUCCAUACUUCUUUCUUCCACACUCAGUCAUUUAGCUACCGCUGCUGCUCCAGGAUCCAUUUCUAUUACAAAUCCUCA